This 460-nucleotide ribosomal RNA is filed under the name uncultured bacterium. Its description in RNAcentral is "partial 16S ribosomal RNA". It matches the Rfam family "Bacterial small subunit ribosomal RNA", at positions 338 to 795 of the family's 1533-position model. The record is from RNAcentral.
CCUACGGGAGGCAGCAGUGAGGAAUAUUGGUCAAUGGACGAGAGUCUGAACCAGCCAAGUAGCGUGAAGGAUGACUGCCCUAUGGGUUGUAAACUUCUUUUAUAUGGGAAUAAAAUGUUACACGUGUGGGGUUUUGUAUGUACCAUAUGAAUGAGGAUCGGCUAACUCCGUGCCGGCAGCCGCGGUAAUACGGAGGAUCCGAGCGUUAUCCUGAUUUCUUGGGUUUAAAGGGAGCGUAGGUGGAUUGUUAAGUAAGUUGUGAAAGUUUGGGGCUCAACCGUAAAAUUGCAGUUGAAACUGGCAGUCUUGAGUACAGUAGAGGUGGGCGGAAUGCGUGGUGUAGCGGUGAAAUGCUUAGAUAUCACGAAGAACUCCGAUGGCGAAGGCAGCUCACUGGACUGCAACUGACACUGAGGCACGAAAGUGUGGGUAUCAAACAGGAUUAGAUACCCCUGUAGUC